AUGUCCUUCUGGUGAAACCGGGUCUUCCUUAUUUGGAUAUCAUCAGGCUUCUCAGAGAUAAAUCUCCUUUGCCAAUUGCUGCAUAUCAGGUAUCAGGUGAAUAUUCAAUGAUAAAGGCUGGUGGAGUUCUCAAAAUGAUUGAUGAAGAAAGGUUGAUGAUGGAGUCCCUGAUGUGUCUCCGACGGGCUGGUGCCGAUAUCAUCCUAACAUAUUUUGCUCUACAAGGUGCUAGAUGUUUAUGUGGUGAAAAGAGGUGAGUUGCCUUAUAUUAAAUUAAGGCUCUGAUAGUUGUGGAAAAUCCAUGGAGAACUUUCGGUUCUGUAACUAAAUAACAAUAGUGUAAGGUUUGGAAUCUUAAUUGGCGAACUUAAUAGGUCACUUUGCAGUCCAUUCUUUCACC
Molecule: unclassified non-coding RNA, 400 nt
Filed under: Hevea brasiliensis (rubber tree)
Lineage: Eukaryota; Viridiplantae; Streptophyta; Magnoliopsida; Malpighiales; Euphorbiaceae
Source: RNAcentral